Molecule: long non-coding RNA, 388 nt
Organism: Mercenaria mercenaria
Lineage: Eukaryota; Metazoa; Mollusca; Bivalvia; Venerida; Veneridae
Exons: 4
Source: RefSeq, a predicted model, not a curated record
CAUCACUAUUGUAGCAGUCAUACAACAAAACUUUAUUAACUUUCGGACUUUUUACAUAAGAAUUUAUCAAACCGGAUAAUUUGCUCCUUUUUAGGGCGUCACAGUCCAUAACAUGGGCCAAGCGGAACCAUUGGGGGAAAAAAGAGAUGUCAAGCAAGAAUACUUCAGACCAAGUUAGAUUUAAAUUCAUCAAGACUGCUAAGAUGUAACUGUAUAUAUAAAACCUUCAGCAGUGAUAGAACCAUUCCUGUGAGCUUGAUGGUCAAAAGAUAACGGAGGAAGCUGUGGCUGCUACUGGCAAACCAUUUAAAUCAGUGACAGAACUAUUCCUGCGGGCAUGACGGUCAAAAGAUUACGCUUAAUUAUGAGGAAGCUGCUGGCAAAUCAA